CGGAGCUGGGCUGGGGCGCGCGGCCGCGGGCUGCGCUCCCGGGAACCGGAGGGCGUGGGGCGGUCCGCCCGCAGUGUGCGCCCCACAGCCGGCUCUCAGAGCUGGACUGGCAACGCAUUGCGGGGCCCCGCCGGGCGGAGAGGAGGGUUCGUGAAUCUUGCCGCCACGCUGGCUAGGAAUGCCCCCUAGAAGGCCCUGCCAGGAACCGAGGGGUGGCAGGGACACUCCCCGGGCCCAGGCCCUUCCCCCAUUCUGCUGCUCUGGGUCCCACCCCGGGCCCCACCUCCUUCCUGAUCCUGUCCCGGGGCCACUCCCUUAACCCGGCGCAGCCUGGGGCCCUUCCCCCAUGCACCCUGGGGUCCCCUGCCUAGCAGUCUGUGCUAGCGUACCCUGGCAGCGUCUCCUACGCACGACUCCUAUGUCCACUCAGUACUUGGAAAAGUCUGUGGGCGCGUGUGUUUGAAGCGAGUCAGGCCUGGCCGAGGAGACUCGGGGUGCUGAGGGACCCCAGUGGGACUCUUGCAACGAGGCCUUGUGUGUCGCCCUGACCACACGGGCGAUUUAGCACUGGGCUACCCAGGUGUGCUCGACGCCUCCUGGGCCACAACGGGGCUCGCGCCAGAGUGAGGACCUCACAGAACGCAGGGGUGGCCAGCACUAGCGUUGGGGAGGAUAAUUCCAUUCAGAGCCCUAGGACCAGUCUCUUAGGUCUCCCCCGACUAGACGCCGCAACGCGCCUCGCCUAGUGUACAUUACGAAGAGCCGCCUCCCGAGAGCAAGAGCCGGGCUCCAAGGCGCGCGCAGCCGAGCCUGCGGGGGUAGGCUGGCCAGGAGUGGGAGGUGGCGGCGCCCGGCGGACGCCUGACCGCCACCUCAGACCUCCUCCGGCUUCCGCAAGCACUUGCACUUUGGAUCCGGAUUCGGAACCGUAACUGACUGUCCCCAAGGGUCGGCUGUGUUGUAAUGACCAACAACAUCUGCGACCCGGGCCCCUAAGCCUGGCGGCAUCGCCUUGAUUGGUGGCACCAGGAGGGCAUUGAGGCCCUGGCCACCGGUCUCCUGAGCCCUUGCCCCUCUCAGCUUGGGAAUGGAGGUUUUCCCCCGCUGGGACCUGCUUCAGGGCUGCUACCACAGACGCCGCCACCGAGGACAGUCGAGGCCGCCCCUGGCACCGCUCUACCUCACCUUAAGGCGACCAUGGCCCUAGUUCCAGAGCAGAUGAGAAAGCCUGGGCGGAGACCUGCUGAUGGGCACCCCGCCUCCCCCAAGCGUCUGUUAUCCUCACGCCUUCUCUCCAGAGCUGGGUGGAGACAUGGCAUUUGAUACUGCCCAAAGGAUCAUGACAUUGCAAAGACUCCCUGAAGAGUUUACCCAACUUGGCCUGCCAAUCACUUGGCCAAGGUUUCACUUGCUCCUUGAACCAAAGCUGGCCUAGAACUCAAGACAUCCACUGCCUCUGCUUCCUGAGUACUGUGAUUGAAGUUGUCCACCACUCACACCCAGCCUCCUCUUUUAAUUAAAAAUUUUUAAAAUCUG
This is a long non-coding RNA of Peromyscus eremicus (cactus mouse), 1536 nucleotides long. RefSeq lists it as uncharacterized. The record is from RefSeq and is a predicted model, not a curated record. The transcript is spliced from 3 exons. Lineage: Eukaryota; Metazoa; Chordata; Mammalia; Rodentia; Cricetidae.